AAACUCAAAGGAAUUGACGGGGAUCCGCACAAGCGGUGGAUGAUGUGGUUUAAUUCGAUGCAACGCGAAAAACCUUACCCACCUUUGACAUGUACGGAACCCUUUAGAGAUAGAGGGGUGCUCGAAAGAGAGCCGUAACACAGGUGCUGCAUGGCUGUCGUCAGCUCGUGUCGUGAGAUGUUGGGUUAAGUCCCGCAACGAGCGCAACCCUUGUCAUUAGUUGCUACAUUCAGUUGGGCACUCUAAUGAGACUGCCGGUGACAAGCCGGAGGAAGGUGGGGAUGACGUCAAGUCCUCAUGGCCCUUAUAGGUGGGGCUACACACGUCAUACAAUGGCUGGUACAAAGGGUUGCCAACCCGCGAGGGGGAGCCAAUCCCAUAAAGCCAGUCGUAGUCCGGAUCGUAGUCUGCAACUCGACUACGUGAAGUCGGAAUCGCUAGUAAUCGUGGAUCAGAAUGUCACGGUGAAUACGUUCCCGGGUCUU
RNAcentral lists this ribosomal RNA (485 nucleotides) under uncultured Rhodoferax sp. RNAcentral describes it as "bacterial SSU rRNA". It matches the Rfam family "Bacterial small subunit ribosomal RNA", at positions 897 to 1382 of the family's 1533-position model. The record is from RNAcentral. Lineage: Bacteria; Pseudomonadati; Pseudomonadota; Betaproteobacteria; Burkholderiales; Comamonadaceae.